CUCUGAGGCUCUUCCCCUUGCGCCCCCUAGUCUAGGGCUUCCUCCCACCGCCAACCUCCAGUCUGGGGUCCCCUCCUUGCACCUCCUAUCUGGGGGUCCCCUCCUUGCACCUCCUAUCUGGGGCUCCCCUCCUUGAACCUCCUCCUCUGGGGAUCGCCCUGAGCCCCCCAGUCUGGAGCUCCCUACCUCACACCCCCCCAAGACUGGGGCACCCACAACCUUCUAGGCCCCUUGCUGCUGCACACAGGGCCCUGGGGUGGGGUCCAGGCUCAGCACCCAGUUAAUAGUCCCACGCCCUCUCAGAGUCAUUUCCGUUUGUCUAGCGGGAAAGAGCCCAGCUAGCAGUACCCCAGCCUGCUCUGCCCUUUGAGCUAGGCCAGGCCCCUUCCCUUCUCUGGCCCCAUGUUGGCCUCUUCCCAGGACAGCGAGGGGGACCCCUGGACGCCCCCACUCUCAUCAUCUGAAAGUUAUGAGCCAACUCCCCUUGUUUCACUGUGAUGGCGGUAGAGGGGGCAUUGUCCUGGUAGAAGUGAUGGCUCAGGUCCCUCCCCAGCCCAGGAGAGGCUGGCCCUUCAGUCCGAAAUACUUAACACCCCUUCUGAGGUCCCUGUCUACUCCUGCCUACCAGGAGGGCUGACCAAUCCCAGAUGUGCACUCUGUGUGCUGGGAGGGGGUGCAGAGCCCAACCUCCACUCCCUGGUGUGUGUAGAGAGCAGUAUUGUGAGGCAGCCAGAACAUAGACCUGGCCCUCAAAGUGAGGGGCAUGGAUGUCUUGGGGGGAGUCGUCAUCAGGAAAGAGAGCUAGGAGGGCAAGGAGUGGCUGACAGUAACUGGUCAGCAGGAGCAAAAGAGGACUGGGAGGGGGACUCCUGAUAUGUCCACCCCUCACUCCAGGGUCUCUACUGAUAAGCAAAACUGCAUGGAGGUGGGGAGUGGGGACUGAGUCUGAUUGCUCUGCUGGAUAGCUGAUGGUACCCAGAACUGUGGAACCAUGCCCUGGCCUUCUCUCUCCGCUCUGUCUUAGAGGCCAGGAACUUGAGAGGAGGCAGAAUUUGGGGAUGCUGGCUGAGGGUUCAGCAGCUGUUGUGAACAGUGUGGAAGGAGGCAGCCAACAGUCAGUGGAAGCAGAGCUGGACACCAGACCCACCAGGGCUCCUGUGUUAUUGGGCCUCAGCUGGGUUGCCAGUGAAGGGUGUGUGUGUGUGUCUGUGUGUGUGUGUGUGUGUGUGUGUGUGUGUGUGUGUGUGUGUGUGUGUAGGGAAGCAGCCUCACACAUGUGAGCAUCAGGGCAUUGUUGUCAAGUAUGUCCUUUCCCUGGAAAGUCUAGAUGAGUGUCAGACCCCUGAGGAGGCAGGGAGCCUAUCUUCCCCUGAGCCUCCCAGGAAGCCCUUUGCCCUGGGAGUGAGCCUCUUGAGGCUGAGUGCCCACCUCCACAUCAUCUGGUGGCACCCACAGGAGCCCUGAAGAGUGGCUUCCCAAGCCCCCCCCCUUCCCCUCUGGACCAGAGCCACACACUUCAGCAUUUACAGCCUGGAGCAUGAGCAAGGAAUUUUUUAUUGCUGUACCCCUGAGAGGAUGAGGAGAAAGGGGAGCCCAGAAUGCACUGGGGUACAGGGCUGAGAAUUGAGGGUGAAGUUAGAGUGGGGGUAGGGGGGAGACUGGCUGUCAGAGAGUCCACUUGGGGCUGCCCUCAGGACCCCACUUUAGUCCCUGCAGUGGUUGACACUGCCCCCACCCACCCAGGUCGGCUUCUCAGGCUUGCCUCUGCCCCAGAAGCUGGCACUUCACACCCACCGUUGGCAGCUCAGAUUUCACCAGGCAGGGAGGGAGCUGCAUGUGGAGGUGGACAGGGAACCAGCUCCCCAAGGCCCCUCCAACGCCAGGGUUUCCAUUUGAAGCCUGGUUGAGGGUGGGGUCCAGGGAAUGCUGGGUGUGCAGGUAUGUAGUGGGGGAGGGUGUGGAAUCACCUUUGCCCACACCCCCAACCACUGUCUGCACUGUGUUGCCUACACAGGGUCCCCUCACUGCCUGCUCAGUGCUCAAGGUCUCCUGCUCAGGGUCCUUGGCAUAUUUCCACUAUAAAGUGCCAGCUAGAAGGAAUGGUUUUUCCUCUAGGAAAGAGGCCUGGACAUUGUAUCCCUAGUCCACUUGGCAUUUGUCACCUUUGCCAUUUUGUCACUUUUUGGAGCCAGUCCAGGCUGAAUGACACAGACCUGGAGGGAGUCUAGCUGAGAUCCACCUCCUCUCCAGGACAGAGAGGGUCCU
Molecule: long non-coding RNA, 2265 nt
Organism: Erinaceus europaeus (western European hedgehog)
Lineage: Eukaryota; Metazoa; Chordata; Mammalia; Eulipotyphla; Erinaceidae
Exons: 3
Source: RefSeq, a predicted model, not a curated record